RNAcentral lists this ribosomal RNA (492 nucleotides) under Paenibacillaceae bacterium CL6.71. RNAcentral describes it as "bacterial SSU rRNA". It matches the Rfam family "Bacterial small subunit ribosomal RNA", at positions 17 to 498 of the family's 1533-position model. Lineage: Bacteria; Bacillati; Bacillota; Bacilli; Caryophanales; Paenibacillaceae. The record is from RNAcentral.
CCCUGGCUCAGGACGAACGCUGGCGGCGUGCCUAAUACAUGCAAGUCGAGCGGAUUUAUCCUUCGGGAUAAGUUAGCGGCGGACGGGUGAGUAACACGUAGGUAACCUGCCUAUAAGAUCGGGAUAACUAUCGGAAACGAUAGCUAAGACCGGAUAAUUGGUUUUCUCGCAUGAGAGAAUUAUGAAACACGGAGCAAUCUGUGGCUUAUAGAUGGGCCUGCGGCGCAUUAGCUAGUUGGUAGGGUAACGGCUCACCAAGGCGACGAUGCGUAGCCGACCUGAGAGGGUGAACGGCCACACUGGGACUGAGACACGGCCCAGACUCCUACGGGAGGCAGCAGUAGGGAAUCUUCCGCAAUGGACGCAAGUCUGACGGAGCAACGCCGCGUGAGUGAUGAAGGUUUUCGGAUCGUAAAGCUCUGUUGCCCUAGACGAACAGCAAGAGGAGUAACUGCCUUUUGUGUGACGGUAUAGGAGAAGAAAGCCCCGGCU